CCUACGGGUGGCUGCAGUGGGGAAUAUUGGACAAUGGGGGGAACCCUGAUCCAGCCAUGCCGCGUGUGUGAAGAAGGCCCUCGGGUUGUAAAGCACUUUCAGUGAGGAAGAACGCCUGGUGGUUAAUACCCAUCAGGAAAGACAUCACUCACAGAAGAAGCACCUGCUAACUCCGUGCCAGCAGCCGCGGUAAUACGGAGGGUGCGAGCGUUAAUCGGAAUUACUGGGCGUAAAGCGCGCGUAGGUGGCUUGAUAAGCCGGUUGUGAAAGCCCCGGGCUCAACCUGGGAACGGCAUCCGGAACUGUCAAGCUAGAGUGCAGGAGAGGAAGGUGGAAUUCCCGGUGUAGCGGUGAAAUGCGUAGAGAUCGGGAGGAAUACCAGUGGCGAAGGCGGCCUUCUAGACUGACACUGCCACUGAGGUGCGAAAGCGUGGGUAGCAAACAGGAUUAGAUACCCCAGUAGUC
RNAcentral lists this ribosomal RNA (465 nucleotides) under Vreelandella stevensii. RNAcentral's name for it is "partial 16S ribosomal RNA". It matches the Rfam family "Bacterial small subunit ribosomal RNA", at positions 338 to 795 of the family's 1533-position model. The record is from RNAcentral. Lineage: Bacteria; Pseudomonadati; Pseudomonadota; Gammaproteobacteria; Oceanospirillales; Halomonadaceae.